AAAUUGAAGAGUUUGAUCAUGGCUCAGAUUGAACGCUGGCGGCAGGCUUAACACAUGCAAGUCGAGCGGAAACGAGUUAUCUGAGCCUUCGGGGGACGAUAACGGCGUCGAGCGGCGGACGGGUGAGUAAUGCCUAGGAAAUUGCCCUGAUGUGGGGGAUAACCAUUGGAAACGAUGGCUAAUACCGCAUAAUGCCUACGGGCCAAAGAGGGGGACCUUCGGGCCUCUCGCGUCAGGAUAUGCCUAGGUGGGAUUAGCUAGUUGGUGAGGUAAGGGCUCACCAAGGCAACGAUCCCUAGCUGGUCUGAGAGGAUGAUCAGCCACACUGGAACUGAGACACGGUCCAGACUCCUACGGGAGGCAGCAGUGGGGAAUAUUGCACAAUGGGCGCAAGCCUGAUGCAGCCAUGCCGCGUGUGUGAAGAAGGCCUUCGGGUUGUAAAGCACUUUCAGUCGUGAGGAAGGUAGUGUAGUUAAUAGCUGCAUUAUUUGACGUUAGCGACAGAAGAAGCACCGGCUAACUCCGUGCCAGCAGCCGCGGUAAUACGGAGGGUGCGAGCGUUAAUCGGAAUUACUGGGCGUAAAGCGCAUGCAGGUGGUUUGUUAAGUCAGAUGUGAAAGCCCGGGGCUCAACCUCGGAAUAGCAUUUGAAACUGGCAGACUAGAGUACUGUAGAGGGGGGUAGAAUUUCAGGUGUAGCGGUGAAAUGCGUAGAGAUCUGAAGGAAUACCGGUGGCGAAGGCGGCCCCCUGGACAGAUACUGACACUCAGAUGCGAAAGCGUGGGGAGCAAACAGGAUUAGAUACCCUGGUAGUCCACGCCGUAAACGAUGUCUACUUGGAGGUUGUGGCCUUGAGCCGUGGCUUUCGGAGCUAACGCGUUAAGUAGACCGCCUGGGGAGUACGGUCGCAAGAUUAAAACUCAAAUGAAUUGACGGGGGCCCGCACAAGCGGUGGAGCAUGUGGUUUAAUUCGAUGCAACGCGAAGAACCUUACCUACUCUUGACAUCCAGAGAACUUUCCAGAGAUGGAUUGGUGCCUUCGGGAACUCUGAGACAGGUGCUGCAUGGCUGUCGUCAGCUCGUGUUGUGAAAUGUUGGGUUAAGUCCCGCAACGAGCGCAACCCUUAUCCUUGUUUGCCAGCGAGUAAUGUCGGGAACUCCAGGGAGACUGCCGGUGAUAAACCGGAGGAAGGUGGGGACGACGUCAAGUCAUCAUGGCCCUUACGAGUAGGGCUACACACGUGCUACAAUGGCGCAUACAGAGGGCGGCCAACUUGCGAAAGUGAGCGAAUCCCAAAAAGUGCGUCGUAGUCCGGAUUGGAGUCUGCAACUCGACUCCAUGAAGUCGGAAUCGCUAGUAAUCGUGGAUCAGAAUGCCACGGUGAAUACGUUCCCGGGCCUUGUACACACCGCCCGUCACACCAUGGGAGUGGGCUGCAAAAGAAGUAGGUAGUUUAACCUUCGGGGGGACGCUUACCACUUUGUGGUUCAUGACUGGGGUGAAGUCGUAACAAGGUAGCGCUAGGGGAACCUGGCGCUGGAUCACCUCCUUAUACGAUGAU
Molecule: ribosomal RNA, 1562 nt
Filed under: Vibrio alginolyticus
Lineage: Bacteria; Pseudomonadati; Pseudomonadota; Gammaproteobacteria; Vibrionales; Vibrionaceae
Description: bacterial SSU rRNA
Rfam family: Bacterial small subunit ribosomal RNA
Source: RNAcentral